This is a long non-coding RNA of Leopardus geoffroyi (Geoffroy's cat), 1746 nucleotides long. RefSeq lists it as uncharacterized. The record is from RefSeq and is a predicted model, not a curated record. Lineage: Eukaryota; Metazoa; Chordata; Mammalia; Carnivora; Felidae. The transcript is spliced from 2 exons.
UCUCUCUCUCUCUCUGAAAAGCAAAUGAACAUUAAAAAAAAAAAUUAAGGUGUUGCAUAUGAAACAUCGAAUGGCAUUGAUUCUUUAAGCAAUCAGUUAUUUCUGUCUAGAAGUUGGUACUGGUUUCUCUCCAUUCUUGGAGUUUAAGAAUUUUCCAGACUAGCUUUGGGGACAUUUUUGUCUCAUUCCUUCUGCUUGGAACUCUGUGAAUAGUUUCAGUUUGCACAUUCAGGUCUUUCUUAAUCUUGAGGACAUUUUCUUCUUCCAUUAGUUUAAUUAUUGCCUCUUCUCCAUCUGCUCCUUUUCUCUUCUCUAAAUCUUCUUUUACUCUCAUGUAAAUUCUUCCAGAUACAGCUGCCAACAAUCCAGUUUUUUUUCUCCUGAUUAUCUUGUCCUCGUUCGUUUGCUCUGUGUUUUAAGAUAUGACUUCCAGGUGAAUUUCCAGGUCACUAACAGUCUCACUAACACUACUGCCCUCCAAUUCAUUUGCUAGCAGUUUUAGUUCAAAAAGCAUGCAGAAAGUCUUUACAAAGCAUAAUUGACUACGUUGACAUACUUCUGCGUUGUGGUUCAAACUUUAAUCUUUCAUGUAGGGGCUUGUCCUGUGUGUUCUGCUGGGUUUUCCUCUCUCGGGCUCCUGGGUCUCCUCUGAACACUGGGGCUUCUGUCAUCUUCAAACGAUGCCACAGAACAGUGGUUCUCAAAGUGUGGUCCACAGAACCCUGCAGGUCCCCAAGACCCGUUCGGGGCACGUACAUGACCAAGCACUGUUGUAAUAAUCCUGCCGUGUUUUUGCCUUUCUCCUGCUGUUGACAUUUGCUCUGAUGACACAAAAGCGACGAGUCAAAGCAGUGUCACUAAUAUGCAUCAGCUGUCACUGCAUCCUUCACCAAUGAAGAAGUAAAGACUUGAGUAGCUUCUAAAGGUCUCAACAAGGGGCAAAGCCAGGCCCACAUCCAGCUCUCCAGCCCAGCACAACAGACACCAGAAAGCUCUGCCAUCUCCCUCUCCCCUUGGAAGCAGCGCUAAUUCUGGGGAGAAGGAAAAGAAGAUGAGAAUAAAAAUAGACAUAAAACAUACAGUACUUUGUACUAGAGGAGUGACUAAGGAAAGAAACACUCCCUUCUUCUCGGAUUGUCUCUGCCUGGAAUGCCGUCCAGCACCUAAUGUGCUACUUUGGCAACCAGAGAAAGCACGCCGCCUCCAAAGCGAGACUCGCCCUGGCCAGACGCCAGAAGGUAGCACCUGACUCAGCACUCACUCAACCCCAGCCCUGAGCUGGCCACUCCCUCUGCUUGGAGCUAUAUAUUUCAUCAGGAUAAAAAUGAAACUGGACGCUUGAUCUGUGGUUGCCACUCCUGCUGCCACCGUUCCCACCACCGAUGGACCCAGAUUCUGUCCUGGCCACACCCCUGGGAAGGCUGAGCUGCCCUGAGGCGUGCACGGAAGGUCUGGGCCAACUGCUGUGUGCCCGUGGACUGUGCUGGACCACUGCCAUCCACACGCGGGCUGCUACCUGGUGCAUCAUCCGUGUGCGUAUUGCAUUGGAUCAUCACAAAACACAAAUUCAAAGAUAGACAUGGAUGAAGAAUCUCCAGACAGUCAUAGAAGAACAUAAACCCAAGCACAGAGUCCUCCACCUGGGCCCUUUGUAACUGUGGGCUCUGCCUCAUAGCAACCAUAAUUCCUGGUUUUCCACCCACUAGUGGUUUGGACUGGAGUGGUUAAUGCACUUUUUAUUGCCAA